UACAGAGACUGCGAGCGUUAUUCGGAUUCACUGGGCGUAAAGGGUGCGCAGGCGGCCGAGUGUGUGAGGCGUGAAAGCCCGGGGCUUAACCCCGGAAUUGCACCUCAAACUACACGGCUAGAGCAUUGGAGAGGGUAGCAGAAUUCACGGUGUAGCAGUGAAAUGCGUAGAUAUCGUGAGGAAUACCAGAGGCGAAGGCGGCUACCUGGACAAUUGCUGACGCUCAGGCACGAAAGCGUGGGGAGCAAAAAGG
Molecule: ribosomal RNA, 253 nt
Filed under: uncultured bacterium
Lineage: Bacteria
Description: partial 16S ribosomal RNA
Rfam family: Bacterial small subunit ribosomal RNA
Source: RNAcentral